Molecule: non-coding RNA, 591 nt
Organism: Bactrocera oleae (olive fruit fly)
Lineage: Eukaryota; Metazoa; Arthropoda; Insecta; Diptera; Tephritidae
Source: RefSeq, a predicted model, not a curated record
AGAAUGCAUAAAUAACAAGUAAGGAUAGACAAGGUAAAUAUAUGAGGUAUGCGGAAAGUAUUGAUAUGAUUUUACCCAUUUUUGGUACAAGGGCAAAUAUUCUCCCUUAUUUUAAAUACUAGACCUCACAAAUUGACAGAUUGAUAUGUUCGGUAAAAAUCAGCCAUAUGCAAUGGGGUACACAUAAUUGGUGUUCGGGUCCUUGAAAAGUUGUAAUCGACAAUUUUUGUGCAUAAGAUGAAAUAUGAAACGUGUGGCUGCCAAAAAUAGCGCGUUUGCCAGCGGAUCCUCAGCUACAUAUGUACAUAGUUGCCAUAAACUCCAACUACGCCGUCACUUGCCAAAACAUUAGCGACCAACAGCAAACAAUUCGCGAAAAUAUGCUUAUUGUAGAAAAAACUAAAAUUUAUCAGAUCACGCAAAUUUGAAGCACUGGAUAUUUAAUCAAACUUAGCUCUCUAACUAUAGCCGAUAUAUUGUAUAUUUACAUAAAUCUUUGCCGACUUUUUUUUGUUAUCAUCAAAUAUAUUGUAAAUAGUUUGUGGUUAUAGCACACGAUGCCCAAACUUAAAAUUCUUAAGUUUUUUCUAA